Non-coding RNA from Phrynosoma platyrhinos (Desert horned lizard), 70 nucleotides. NCBI's taxonomy places the organism in Eukaryota, Metazoa, Chordata, Lepidosauria, Squamata, Phrynosomatidae. The record is from the annotation of a GenBank genome assembly.
GCCAGUAUAGUGUAGUGGUAUGUGUUGGACUAUGACUCUGGAGACCAGGGUUCAAUUCCCAGCUUGGCCA